GACGAACGCUGGCGGCGUGCCUAACACAUGCAAGUCGAGCGAGGUAUUUAUACCUAGCGGCGGACGGGUGAGUAACACGUGGGUAACCUGCCUCAUAGAGGGGAAUAGCCUUCCGAAAGGGAGAUUAAUACCGCAUAAUAUAUACUGGUAGCAUUAAUGGUAUAUCAAAGGAGAAAUCCGCUAUGAGAUGGGCCCGCGGCGCAUUAGCUAGUUGGAGAGGUAACGGCUCACCAAGGCGACGAUGCGUAGCCGACCUGAGAGGGUGAUCGGCCACAUUGGAACUGAGACACGGUCCAGACUCCUACGGGAGGCAGCAGUGGGGAAUAUUGCACAAUGGGGAAACCCUGAUGCAGCAACGCCGCGUGAAUGAUGACGGCCUCGGUUGUAAGUUCUUUGUAUUGGGUACGGAAAAUAGACGGUACCCGAAAAACCAAACGACCACCGGACGUAACUAACGUCGCCACGCAGCCGCGGUAACCAGUAACUCGUA
Molecule: ribosomal RNA, 490 nt
Filed under: uncultured bacterium
Lineage: Bacteria
Description: bacterial SSU rRNA
Rfam family: Bacterial small subunit ribosomal RNA
Source: RNAcentral